Molecule: ribosomal RNA, 397 nt
Filed under: uncultured bacterium
Lineage: Bacteria
Description: partial 16S ribosomal RNA
Rfam family: Bacterial small subunit ribosomal RNA
Source: RNAcentral
AUACGUAGGUGACAAGCGUUAUCCGGAUUUACUGGGCGUAAAGGGCGUGUAGGCGGUCUUGCAAGUCAGAAGUGAAAUCCCUGAGCUCAACUCGGGCGCUGCUUCUGAAACUGCAGGACUUGAGUGCUGGAGGGGAUAGCGGAAUUCCUAGUGGAGCGGUAAAAUGCGCAGAUAUUAGGAAGAACACCGGUGGCGAAGGCGGCUAUCUGGACAGUAACUGACGCUGAGGCGCGAAAGCGUGGGGAGCAAACAGGAUUAGAUACCCUGGUAGUCCACGCCGUAAACGAAGAAUACUAGGUGUAGGGGGUAUCGACUCCCUCUGUGCCGCAGUUAACACAAUAAGUAUUCCGCCUGGGGAGUACGGCCGCAAGGUUGAAACUCAAAUGAAUUGGCGGGG